UACGUAGGGUGCAAGCGUUAAUCGGAAUUACUGGGCGUAAAGCGUGCGCAGGCGGUGAUGUAAGACAGAUGUGAAAUCCCCGGGCUUAACCUGGGAAUUGCAUUUGUGACUGCACGGCUAGAGUGUGUCAGAGGGGGGUAGAAUUCCACGUGUAGCAGUGAAAUGCGUAGAUAUGUGGAGGAAUACCGAUGGCGAAGGCAGCCCCCUGGGAUAACACUGACGCUCAUGCACGAAAGCGUGGGGAGCAAACAGG
Molecule: ribosomal RNA, 253 nt
Filed under: uncultured bacterium
Lineage: Bacteria
Description: partial 16S ribosomal RNA
Rfam family: Bacterial small subunit ribosomal RNA
Source: RNAcentral